RNAcentral lists this ribosomal RNA (451 nucleotides) under uncultured bacterium. RNAcentral describes it as "bacterial SSU rRNA". It matches the Rfam family "Bacterial small subunit ribosomal RNA", at positions 29 to 524 of the family's 1533-position model. The record is from RNAcentral.
AACGAACGCUGGCGGCAGGCCUAACACAUGCAAGUCGAACGCCCGUAGCAAUACGGGAGUGGCAGACGGGUGAGUAACGCGUGGGAACGUGCCCUUCGGUUCGGAAUAACUCAGGGAAACUUGAGCUAAUACCGGAUACGUCCGUAAGGAGAAAGAUUUAUCGCCGAAGGAUCGGCCCGCGUCGGAUUAGCUAGUUGGUGAGGUAACGGCCCACCAAGGCGACGAUCCGUAGCUGGUCUGAGAGGAUGAUCAGCCACACUGGGACUGAGACACGGCCCAGACUCCUACGGAGGCAGCAGUGGGGAAUAUUGGACAAUGGGCGAAAGCCUGAUCCAGCCAUGCCGCGUGAGUGAAGAAGGCCUUAGGGUUGUAAAGCUCUUUCAGCGGGGAAGAUAAUGACGGUACCCGCAGAAGAAGCCCCGGCUAACUUCGUGCCAGCCGCCGCUGUAAC